AAAACAUUUAUUUGCAAAGAGACAAUUUAAAGCUUUUGAAACAGCGAAAUGUUUUUUGUUUGAUUGCUAAACGUCUUUACACUAAUAUUACUCAGCUUCACUUGGAUUGUGAAAUACGACAAAAGAUUCAUCGCAUGAUUUUGCCCUUCCUUGAGUUUAAGGAGGAUGAAAUUGAUGCUGAAGCUUAUAAUUGUGAGAGUGUGAUAUCAUCUGAUGACGUUAAUCCGACCUAUAUGUAUGGACUGGACAAAAUAGAAUCUUUCAUUAAAUCCAAGGACCAUAAGGACAUGCUUAAAAACCUUUUGGAUGAAAAUGAUAGACUUAAACUGAGAACUGAAACCAUACAAAAAUUUGACUCUUUUGAACUCUAACUUGAGCUCAGAAAACAAAAUUGAUGUUGAAAAUGCAUCUGAGCUUAAUGAGGAUGACAAUAUGAGUGAAAUUUCUGUAGAGGACACGGUUGACUGCUCAGAAUUUGUGAAAAGCGAACCUGAAAACCACAAGAAUCUAAUUUCAGAAAAUUCAGUGGAAUUCGCUCGAUUGUCCCAACAAAAGUCCCCGAUCCUAGCAGAGAAAGCCGUUGUGUAUCAAAAGGUUAGGACCACUCCAAAUCAAGUGUACAAGGUCACCGGAGUAACCGAACAUCAAACUGCUGAACUCACAGCAAUUGUAAACGAAGAAAAUGCUGAUGGCUGCGAUGAGUUUUUCUGGUCAGCUCCAAUCGAUAAUGCUGAUGAAACGGUAGGGUUAUCAGAAAGAACCUCAUGGAAAAGUAAAGGCAGAUACGUACCGGAACCCUUGAACAAGCCAGAUAAUUUUGAUGUGCCAUGUACUAGUGGUACGAAAGACAUUCCUCAAGAAAAUGGAAGUUCGGCAAAAGAAGAUACUCCAUCUGGUGAAACUUCCUCAGUUCAAAGUGAACCAGCUAAAGAAAAACCGAAACCGAAAGCCAACAUCCAUCAUCAACCGAAGCAGAUGAGGAAUCAGAAACGUCAAAGGAAUCAGAGAUACAGGAAGAAUCUCUCUGAAAGAAAACAGUUCUGGCAAUCCCAGAAUGCUUAUUUCUCACAUCAAGACAAGAACCUGAAGUAUGAGAAAAAUCCUAUUGAAAUGCACGAGAGCCACAACAACCGAAAGCAAAGGUUCAGUUCAGAAAAGAACUCCAACCGAAAGCAAAGGUUCGGUUCUGAAAUCAAGAGAGAUCAAAACUCUAAGGUCAAUCCCACCAAUGAUCAAAAGCAAAAGGGACACCUAGAGUCUCCAGCCAAGAAGUCAUAUCAAUCUAAGCCCUCUCAUUCUCACUCAGCUAAUUCUUCUAAUUCUUCCAAUUCCUCUCCACCUUGUUCUAAAUUCCACUAUGUUCCUUCUCAAAAAUCUCAAUAUCUCUCUGAAAGAAAACAGUUCUGGCAAUCCCAGAAUGCUUAUUUCUCACAUCAAGACAAGAACCUGAAGUAUGAGAAAAAUCCUAUUGAAAUGCACGAGAGCCACAACAACCGAAAGCAAAGGUUCAGUUCAGAAAAGAACUCCAACCGAAAGCAAAGGUUCGGUUCUGAAAUCAAGAGAGAUCAAAACUCUAAGGUCAAUCCCACCA
Molecule: long non-coding RNA, 1591 nt
Filed under: Lactuca sativa (garden lettuce)
Lineage: Eukaryota; Viridiplantae; Streptophyta; Magnoliopsida; Asterales; Asteraceae
Description: long non-coding RNA (LSAT_LNC005540)
Source: RNAcentral